UAUCCUAUAUAAAUGGUAAAAUAAGCAAAAGAAAUUUUCUCAAAGUUCUAUUGAGAGUCUUAGCUAUCACUACAAACUAUCACUAUUAUAUAACAUCUUAUCACUCUUUAAAAUAAAAUAUUUCUUUUGGUGGGAUAACUAAUAUUGAAACAAUAUAUCUCAUUAGUAAUUCAAUCUAAUAUGCUUAAACUACACGUAUUAGAUUCAUUUAUCGUAG
This 217-nucleotide long non-coding RNA is filed under the name Carica papaya (papaya). RNAcentral describes it as "long non-coding RNA (CPAP_LNC004023)". The record is from RNAcentral. Lineage: Eukaryota; Viridiplantae; Streptophyta; Magnoliopsida; Brassicales; Caricaceae.